Molecule: ribosomal RNA, 520 nt
Filed under: uncultured Diversispora
Lineage: Eukaryota; Fungi; Glomeromycota; Glomeromycetes; Diversisporales; Diversisporaceae
Description: SSU rRNA
Rfam family: Eukaryotic small subunit ribosomal RNA
Source: RNAcentral
AGCAGCCGCGGUAAUUCCAGCUCCAAUAGCGUAUAUUAAAGUUGUUGCAGUUAAAAAGCUCGUAGUUGAACUUCGGGGUUUACUCAUUGGUCGGGCUUAAUUGUCUGUACUGGUGAGAUGAAUCUCUACCUUCUGAGGAACUUUCAUGCCAUUUAUUUGGUGUGGUUGGAAAUCAGGACUGUUACUUUGAAAAAUUAGAGUGUUUAAAGCAGGCUAACGUCUGAAUACAUUAGCAUGGAAUAAUGAAAUAGGACGGAUUGAUUCUAUUUCGUUGGUUUCUAGGGUCACCGUAAUGAUUAAUAGGGAUAGUUGGGGGCAUUAGUAUUCAAUUGUCAGAGGUGAAAUUCUUGGAUUUAUUGAAGACUAACUACUGCGAAAGCAUUUGCCAAGGAUGUUUUCAUUAAUCAAGAACGAAAGUUAGGGGAUCGAAGACGAUCAGAUACCGUCGUAGUCUUAACCAUAAACUAUGCCGACUAGGGAUCGGACGCAGUUAAUUUUAUAAUGACGUGUUCGGCACCUU